UACGGGGGGGGCAAGCGUUGUUCGGAAUUACUGGGCGUAAAGGGCUCGUAGGCGGCCAACUAAGUCAGACGUGAAAUCCCUCGGCUUAACCGGGGAACUGCAUCUGAUACUGGAUGGCUUGAGAUUGGGAGAGGGAUGCGGAAUUCCAGGUGUAGCGGUGAAAUGCGUAGAUAUCGGGAGGAACACCAGUGGCGAAGGCGGCACUCUGGGCCAGUACUGACACUGAGGAGCGAAAGCGUGGGGAGCGAACAGG
This 253-nucleotide ribosomal RNA is filed under the name uncultured bacterium. RNAcentral's name for it is "partial 16S ribosomal RNA". It matches the Rfam family "Bacterial small subunit ribosomal RNA", at positions 524 to 776 of the family's 1533-position model. The record is from RNAcentral.